Molecule: long non-coding RNA, 759 nt
Filed under: Mytilus galloprovincialis (Mediterranean mussel)
Lineage: Eukaryota; Metazoa; Mollusca; Bivalvia; Mytilida; Mytilidae
Source: RNAcentral
AAGAGUAUGAACAUGUACUUUGAUGUUUAUGUUCCCCAUUUAUUGUCUAUACUUUAAUUAAUAUGUAUACAGAUUUUUUGUCCUAAUUUCUAGGUGAGUAUAAUUUGUCGAUUUUAAAUCAACUGGAUAAUUUCCUUGCACAUUCUAUCCGUAUGUUAAUUGCGUUGUGAACCUUAAGAUACCAUAUAAAUUGUUUUAAGAUUUCAUAUACUACACGCAUUUAAAUUGAAAUUAUCUGCUAAUGGAUCCCGUCGGGUACCCAAGGACAUUAUAAAACCUAGACUUUUUUGUUAGUUCGAUCUGUGGCCUCAAUUCUAUUCAAUAACAUUAACAGUUAAUCAUUUCGUGUAUUCAAGGCACAUUGAAUCAUUGAACGGUCUUGAAAAGUAAAUUCUCCCCUGUGUUGUGUUCAAUAAAACCCACUAUACUUAGUAAAGAACGGUCAUAUAAAGAAAAGAUCAAACACCAAAUAUCUAUCUGUAAAUAUGUACCUGACCUGGUUUAAGGACGAAUUUAUAUGACAAUUUGAUAUUUUUUAAGUUUUGUUUUAUAAUGCAUGUCCAGGCGUAGUUUUCUGUCAGCGUAUUUUUGUCCCUUUUCUCCAUUGUUAUUCUCCUGACCCCCCCCCCCCCCCCCCCCCCCCCCCCCCCCCCCCCCCCCCCCCCUUUUCAGUUUUAUCGAUCUACCGUCUUGAUUCAUGCUUUAAAGAUUAACAUACAAUGACCGAACUUUUACAGAAAAUUUAAUGUCAACUCUUUC